GUGAGCAUGGCGAAGUGGUUAACGCACCGGAUUGUGGAUCCGGCACGCGUGGGUUCGAUUCCCACUGCUCACCCCA
RNAcentral lists this transfer RNA (76 nucleotides) under Alicyclobacillaceae bacterium I2511. Its description in RNAcentral is "Firmicutes bacterium I2511 tRNA-His". It matches the Rfam family "tRNA". Rfam says of the family: Transfer RNA (tRNA) molecules are approximately 80 nucleotides in length. Their secondary structure includes four short double-helical elements and three loops (D, anti-codon, and T loops). The record is from RNAcentral. Lineage: Bacteria; Bacillati; Bacillota; Bacilli; Caryophanales; Alicyclobacillaceae.